GUACUGGUGAAGAGUCCCAAACUAGGAUGAAACAGCUGUCCAGUAC
Non-coding RNA from Trichobilharzia regenti, 46 nucleotides. The record is from Rfam. Lineage: Eukaryota; Metazoa; Platyhelminthes; Trematoda; Strigeidida; Schistosomatidae.